GGGAUAAUGAGGGACUCCGUCUUGGUGAUCUUCCCGCUGGGUGGGAGCUUCUCAACAAACACAUCUGGUGCGGGAAGUUCUGCUUCUUGGACCUCAGCUUGCUGGUUAGACUCAAAAGAGACAGUGUCAGAAAUACUGUCGUCUGUGUGUUUGGUUCCAAGACUCUUUGUCUUUUCAGGCACUUCUACCUGAGGACUUGAUGGCUCUCUCUGGCUCCUGAUGCUGUGGAUGCUACCAAUUUCUGUCUGAGAGCUGGAGUGUGACAGUCCUUCAAAAUAAGGUUUUAACUUUGGCUUCGGUGUGCUCAAAACACUGUCAUCAUCUUCCAUUUCUGGCCCACUGUCACUGGGGUUCUCUAUAUCCAAUGUGUCGUACAGAAGGUCCAAGUCUUCCUCCACCUCUGGAACGUGCUCUGCAGGGUCCUGCUC
This 428-nucleotide long non-coding RNA is filed under the name Gallus gallus (chicken). Lineage: Eukaryota; Metazoa; Chordata; Aves; Galliformes; Phasianidae. The record is from RNAcentral.